This 628-nucleotide ribosomal RNA is filed under the name uncultured cyanobacterium. RNAcentral's name for it is "bacterial SSU rRNA". It matches the Rfam family "Bacterial small subunit ribosomal RNA", at positions 118 to 779 of the family's 1533-position model. The record is from RNAcentral. Lineage: Bacteria; Bacillati; Cyanobacteriota.
UGAGAAUCUGCCUAGAGGAUGGGGACAACCACGGGAAACUGUGGCUAAUACCCAAUGAGCGGAGACGUUAAAGAUUUAUCGCCUCUAGAGGAGCUCGCGUCUGAUUAGCUAGUUGGUGGGGUAAAAGCCUACCAAGGCGACGAUCAGUAGCUGGUCUGAGAGGACAACCAGCCACACUGGGACUGAGACACGGCCCAGACUCCUACGGGAGGCAGCAGUGGGGAAUUUUCCGCAAUGGGCGAAAGCCUGACGGAGCAAUACCGCGUGAGGGAGGAAGGCUCUUGGGUCGUAAACCUCUUUUCUCAGGGAAGAAGAAAGUGACGGUACCUGAGGAAUCAGCCUCGGCUAACUCCGUGCCAGCAGCCGCGGUAAUACGGAGGAGGCAAGCGUUAUCCGGAAUUAUUGGGCGUAAAGCGUCCGUAGGUGGCUCUUCAAGUCUGCUGUCAAAGAGUGGGGCUUAACUCCAGAAAGGCAGUGGAAACUGAAAGGCUAGAGAGCCGUAGGGGUAGAGGGAAUUCCCGGUGUAGCGGUGAAAUGCGUAGAGAUCGGGAAGAACAUCGGUGGCGAAAGCGCUCUACUGGACGGUAUCUGACACUGAGGGACGAAAGCUAGGGGAGCGAAUGGGAUU